RNAcentral lists this ribosomal RNA (350 nucleotides) under uncultured bacterium. RNAcentral's name for it is "bacterial SSU rRNA". It matches the Rfam family "Bacterial small subunit ribosomal RNA", at positions 27 to 398 of the family's 1533-position model. The record is from RNAcentral.
GGAUGAACGCUGGCGGUCUGCUUAACACAUGCAAGUCGAACGAACUCUUACGGAGUGAGUGGCGGACGGGGUGAGUAACGCGUGAGAAUCUGCCUGUGGGUCGGGGACAACCACUGGAAACCGGUGGCUAAUACCGGGAUGAGCCGAAAAGGUAAAGAUUUAUUGCCCCACAGAUGAGCUACGCGGUCUGGAUUAGCUAGUUGGUAAGGUAAAAGCGUACCAAGGCGACGAUCAGUAGCUGGUCUGAGAGGAUGAGCAGCCACACUGGGACUGAGACACGGCCCAGACUCCUACGGGAGGCAGCAGUGGGAAUUUUCCGCAAUGGGCGAAAGCCGUGACGGAGCAAGACC